This is a long non-coding RNA of Eucalyptus grandis, 1473 nucleotides long. RefSeq lists it as uncharacterized. The transcript is spliced from 3 exons. NCBI's taxonomy places the organism in Eukaryota, Viridiplantae, Streptophyta, Magnoliopsida, Myrtales, Myrtaceae. The record is from RefSeq and is a predicted model, not a curated record.
AGUCCAGUUCCAACCCGAAGGACCGCGGGUACAGUCCGACCCGAACUGACGACGUCGGAGGGUAUAACCCCACCCGCUCCGCAGCGCCAGUCCAGCACUCGCUCCGGUGGCUGUACUCGGCCGGUCGCGGCGGACUUCGAUCGGCGACUCGCAGGGCCGACGACCGACCGUUCCUGCUCCGUCGUCUCGCUCCGGGUAAAGCGGUUUGAAGUCGUCGAGUAUGAAUAGGACUCUGAAAAAGGAGGGCCAUGGCACAGCAAGAGAUAAUGUGGUUUGGACAAGCGAAAUGGACAAUGUGUUGAUAGAUGGAUUGUUAGAGGAACAAAGAAAAGGCAAUCGUCGUGAUGGCAUGUUUCGCAGUGAGCUUACCAUAAUACCGUGAAAACCUUGCAGAGCUCCUUUGGCCCAUUUAUUCAGAAAUCUAAUUUAAAGAAUAGAACUAAGACAUUGAAGAAGUAUUUUGCCGAGUUUAGUAAUACAUUUCAUGGUUGGAGCUACUGUACUUGGAAUGCCAACAUGAAGAUGUUUGAUGCUCUGGACAAAGCUUGGGAGAAGUUACUUAUUCAAGAAUAUGACAACUGCGUGUAUUUCAGGAGAGACCCAAAACAAGAAGGUGGAGGUGAUAGCCUAUUCAAAGUUACGACCAACUUUAUGUACUUCAUGCACAGGAUAGCGUGAUGGGUGAGCAUGCUGAAAAACUAGAGAGAGAGAGUUUGUAGAGGAGAGGCUUCCCCACAACUUGAUUCAAAUGACUCACAGUCCCAGGAUAAUAAUCUCAUGGCCCCCGAUGAAAUUUAAUUGGAGGAUUGCGAUGCUCUUUGCUGGAGGCAAUCAGAAUGGCUUCACUCCCGUUAUGUGACUACUAAUAAUCCUCAUGAGGGGGCAUUUUCUGGUUUCUCAAAGCAGAAGGCCAUGGAGCUGGACGUAUUUGAGAGGCCUUUUGCACAGGAAUGGAAAGAGUCACAGACGCCCUAGAAAAGGUGAAUGUGAUAGCUGAAAAGUUUCUUGGAAAUUUUAAGAGUGGCUACCGAAGAGGAGAUAUACAGCAAGCUCAAACUGAUAGGAGUGCACCCAAAUUUUCUGGUGGAUACUUAUAUUCUUGCUGGCAAUCCAACAGCAACCAGCACAAUUUUUUACGCUCUCUUCGCUUGGUGCUUGGAAUUGCUGACGAAGAUCAUGGAUUAUCGCACUAUUGUAGUUACAUGACAAACGGAGCUGAAGGAAUGUAGGUUUUGCUGGCCAAUGUUGGAUCAUAUUUAUAGCCAUUACUUGUCAAUAACAUCUGUACUCUCUUAUUGGCCCAUGCGAGGGGGCACUUUUGAAAUGAGCACCCUGUGUACAUUUGGUUCUGGUGGUGUUGCUAAGAUGGUUUGUUUACAUUGCAAGGUUUUGGUUUUUGGAUAAGGUUUACAAGGUAAAUCAAACUUUGCCAAGAUAAGGUUAAUGUUUAUGUUUACUGAGAUUUGAUGUUUA